This 190-nucleotide unclassified non-coding RNA is filed under the name Acaulospora lacunosa. Its description in RNAcentral is "partial contains 5.8S ribosomal RNA and internal transcribed spacer 2". The stretch from base 1 to 71 matches the Rfam family "5.8S ribosomal RNA", at positions 84 to 154 of the family's 154-position model. The record is from RNAcentral. Lineage: Eukaryota; Fungi; Glomeromycota; Glomeromycetes; Diversisporales; Acaulosporaceae.
GUGAAUCAUCAAAUUUUUGAACGCAAAUUGCACUCUCUGGUAUUCCGGGGAGUAUGCUUGCUUGAGGGUUAGUUUGUUCCAAUCUUAAAAAGAAAUUUUUACGGAUCUUGAUUUUCCAACAGUUAGAUUUUUUGUAAUCUAAAAUUUAUCAUAACAUAUGGUUAUAUUGGAAAUGGUUAUUUUUGAUUCA